GACGGGAUAACCGCUGAACGCAUCUAAGCGGGAAACCCUCCUCAAAACCAGGUCUCGCCGAGAGCCGUGGAAGACCACCACGUCGAUAGGCCGGAGGUGGAAGCGGGGCAACCCGCGCAGCUGACCGGUACUAAUCGCUCGACCGGCGCUUGAAA
RNAcentral lists this ribosomal RNA (155 nucleotides) under Alphaproteobacteria bacterium. Its description in RNAcentral is "partial 23S ribosomal RNA". It matches the Rfam family "Bacterial large subunit ribosomal RNA", at positions 2758 to 2925 of the family's 2925-position model. The record is from RNAcentral. Lineage: Bacteria; Pseudomonadati; Pseudomonadota; Alphaproteobacteria.